GAAACCCAAAAGAUCGAAUGGGGAGAUUCAUCGUCAGCACAUUUAAUAUAUGUAUGAGUUGCGAUAUAAAUUAUCCUUGGAUUAUGCUUGUACGUUCUUGUUCAUUUUAUUGCUGAAUGUUGUCGGCGUGCACUUCUCCCCUAGUAGGACGUCGCGACCCGUUGAGUGUCGUUCUACGGCCCGGAUGGUAGACUUUCAUUUUUUUAAAUAAGACCACUGGUGACCUGAUCGGCUGCUCGGCGGUAUUCGCACGGUAUUGAGCCGCAAUAAUUUGCGUCAAGCCCGUUACAAGCGCGGCUAGUAUCCUGGUAGUGCGGAUUUAAUGCCGUCACUGGGGCUGGCCAGCUGUUGGUUGUACGGUGUUCUUUGACUGGCUCAAAUAUUAAUUACCGGUCGGCGACGCUACUGCUUUGGGUACUUUCAGGACCCGUCUUGAAACACGGACCAAA
RNAcentral lists this ribosomal RNA (449 nucleotides) under Dinocampus coccinellae. RNAcentral's name for it is "eukaryotic LSU rRNA". Lineage: Eukaryota; Metazoa; Arthropoda; Insecta; Hymenoptera; Braconidae. The record is from RNAcentral.